RNAcentral lists this ribosomal RNA (253 nucleotides) under uncultured bacterium. RNAcentral describes it as "partial 16S ribosomal RNA". It matches the Rfam family "Bacterial small subunit ribosomal RNA", at positions 524 to 776 of the family's 1533-position model. The record is from RNAcentral.
UACGUAGGGGGCAAGCGUUGUCCGGAAUCAUUGGGCGUAAAGAGCGUGUAGGCGGUUCGGUAAGUCGGCUGUGAAAGUCCAGGGCUCAACCCUGGGAUGCCGGUCGAUACUGCCGGACUAGAGGUCGGAAGAGGCGAGUGGAAUUCCCGGUGUAGCGGUGAAAUGCGCAGAUAUCAGGAGGAACACCGGUGGCGAAGGCGGGUCUCUGGGCCGACAUUGACGCUGAGGAGCGAAAGCGUGGGGAGCGAACAGG